Molecule: non-coding RNA, 24 nt
Filed under: Mus musculus (house mouse)
Lineage: Eukaryota; Metazoa; Chordata; Mammalia; Rodentia; Muridae
Source: RNAcentral
UGGACACUGCGUUGAGCUCAUUAU